GUAGGUGGCAAGCGUUGUCCGGAAUUAUUGGGCGUAAAGCGCGCGCAGGUGGUUCUUUAAGUCUGAUGUGAAAGCCCCCGGCUCAACCGGGGGAGGGUCAUUGGAAACUGGGGAACUUGAGUGCAGGAGAGGAAAGUGGAAUUCCACGUGUAGCGGUGAAAUGCGUAGAUAUGUGGAGGAACACCAGUGGCGAAGGCGACUUUCUGGCCUGUAACUGACACUGAGGCGCGAAAGCGUGGGGUAGCAAACAGGGAUUAGAUACCCUGGUAGUCCACGCCGUAAACGAUGAGUGCUAAGUGUUGGGGGGGUUUCCCGCCCCUCAGUGCUGCAGCUAACGCAUUAAGCACUCCGCCUGGGGAGUACGGUCGCAAGACUG
RNAcentral lists this ribosomal RNA (376 nucleotides) under uncultured organism. RNAcentral describes it as "partial 16S ribosomal RNA". It matches the Rfam family "Bacterial small subunit ribosomal RNA", at positions 527 to 896 of the family's 1533-position model. The record is from RNAcentral.